UGAACAAAAUCUGGGACUAUAAAGACCAUG
This 30-nucleotide non-coding RNA is filed under the name Mus musculus (house mouse). The record is from RNAcentral. Lineage: Eukaryota; Metazoa; Chordata; Mammalia; Rodentia; Muridae.